AAGAAAUUAGUUAAAUAAUAACAUUAAAAUGUCAAUUUAAAAUUACCAUAAGGUAUUUCUUG
RNAcentral lists this transfer RNA (62 nucleotides) under Euparatettix bimaculatus. RNAcentral describes it as "tRNA-Asp". RNAcentral also lists the same sequence under 1 other name. Lineage: Eukaryota; Metazoa; Arthropoda; Insecta; Orthoptera; Tetrigidae. The record is from RNAcentral.